This 433-nucleotide ribosomal RNA is filed under the name uncultured bacterium. RNAcentral describes it as "partial 16S ribosomal RNA". It matches the Rfam family "Bacterial small subunit ribosomal RNA", at positions 29 to 507 of the family's 1533-position model. The record is from RNAcentral.
AACGAACGCUGGCGGCAUGCCUAACACAUGCAAGUCGAACGAUCCCUUCGGGGAUAGUGGCGCACGGGUGCGUAACGCGUGGGAACCUGCCCUUAGGUUCGGAAUAACUCAGAGAAAUUUGAGCUAAUACCGGAUAAUGUCUUCGGACCAAAGAUUUAUCGCCUUUGGAUGGGCCCGCGUUGGAUUAGCUAGUUGGUGGGGUAAAGGCCUACCAAGGCGACGAUCCAUAGCUGGUCUGAGAGGAUGAUCAGCCACACUGGGACUGAGACACGGCCCAGACUCCUACGGGAGGCAGCAGUGGGGAAUAUUGGACAAUGGGCGAAAGCCUGAUCGAGCAAUGCCGCGUGAGUGAUGAAGGCCUUAGGGUUGUAAAGCUCUUUUACCCGGGAUGAUAAUGACAGUACCGGGAGAAUAAGCCCCGGCUAACUCCGUG